RNAcentral lists this ribosomal RNA (497 nucleotides) under uncultured bacterium. RNAcentral describes it as "partial 16S ribosomal RNA". It matches the Rfam family "Bacterial small subunit ribosomal RNA", at positions 28 to 507 of the family's 1533-position model. The record is from RNAcentral.
GAUGAACGCUGGCGGCGUGCCUAAUACAUGCAAGUCGAGCGAACAGAUAAGGAGCUUGCUCCUUUGACGUUAGCGGCGGACGGGUGAGUAACACGUGGGUAACCUACCUAUAAGACUGGAAUAACUCCGGGAAACCGGGGCUAAUGCCGGAUAACAUGUUGAACGGCAUGGUUCUACAGUGAAAGGCGGCUUUGCUGUCACUUAUAGAUGGACCCGCGCCGUAUUAGCUAGUUGGUGAGGUAACGGCUCACCAAGGCAACGAUACGUAGCCGACCUGAGAGGGCGAUCGGCCACACUGGAACUGAGACACGGUCCAGACUCCUACGGGAGGCAGCAGUAGGGAAUCUUGCGCAAUGGGCGAAAGCCUGACGGAGCAACGCCGCGUGAGUGAUGAAGGUCUUCGGAUCGUAAAACUCUGUUAUUAGGGAAGAACAAAUGCGUAAGUAACUGUGCGCGUCUUGACGGUACCUAAUCAGAAAGCCACGGCUAACUUCGUG